This 349-nucleotide long non-coding RNA is filed under the name Citrus sinensis (sweet orange). RNAcentral's name for it is "long non-coding RNA (CSIN_LNC000437)". Lineage: Eukaryota; Viridiplantae; Streptophyta; Magnoliopsida; Sapindales; Rutaceae. The record is from RNAcentral.
ACGUCUCAAUAAAUUAGCGCGGCUUCAAUGUCAAGCCAAUGCCAUCAAUGACAAAAACGGUGCCGUUGGCUGUCGGUUGUCUUUUCAACAAUCUCGUGUAAAAUCAUAAAAUCAACGGAUGAGAUAAAUUCGCCACUGCACAUCAUCAACAGUAGUGUGGAACCGGAUAAAGGUCAACAUCCACAGGAAAACGAAAUAAUUCAGUAUGGUGGGCCACAAUUCAUAUUAAUUAACUCACCGUCGCCUUUCCCACUGGAAACACCAAGUGCCGAUGAUCAAAAAUAUCGCUUAAACCACUCGAAUCGAAAGACCAGGGAGGGGGGGAAAGGAAAAAAAAAGUUAAAAUCCC